UGGGGAACCUGCCCCAUAGUCUGGGAUACCACUUGGAAACAGGUGCUAAUACCGGAUAAGAAAGCAGAUCGCAUGAUCAGCUUUUAAAAGGCGGCGUAAGCUGUCGCUAUGGGAUGGCCCCGCGGUGCAUUAGUUAGUUGGUAAGGUAAAGGCUUACCAAGGCGAUGAUGCAUAGCCGAGUUGAGAGACUGAUCGGCCACAUUGGGACUGAGACACGGCCCAAACUCCUACGGGAGGCAGCAGUC
Molecule: ribosomal RNA, 245 nt
Filed under: uncultured Lactobacillus sp.
Lineage: Bacteria; Bacillati; Bacillota; Bacilli; Lactobacillales; Lactobacillaceae
Description: partial 16S ribosomal RNA
Rfam family: Bacterial small subunit ribosomal RNA
Source: RNAcentral